Molecule: ribosomal RNA, 255 nt
Filed under: Staphylococcus aureus
Lineage: Bacteria; Bacillati; Bacillota; Bacilli; Caryophanales; Staphylococcaceae
Description: partial 23S ribosomal RNA
Rfam family: Bacterial large subunit ribosomal RNA
Source: RNAcentral
GUGGGAUACUACCCUAGCUGUGUUGGCUUUCUAACCCGCACCACUUAUCGUGGUGGGAGACAGUGUCAGGCGGGCAGUUUGACUGGGGCGGUCGCCUCCUAAAAGGUAACGGAGGCGCUCAAAGGUUCCCUCAGAAUGGUUGGAAAUCAUUCAUAGAGUGUAAAGGCAUAAGGGAGCUUGACUGCGAGACCUACAAGUCGAGCAGGGUCGAAAGACGGACUUAGUGAUCCGGUGGUUCCGCAUGGAAGGGCCAUC